This 253-nucleotide ribosomal RNA is filed under the name uncultured bacterium. Its description in RNAcentral is "partial 16S ribosomal RNA". It matches the Rfam family "Bacterial small subunit ribosomal RNA", at positions 524 to 776 of the family's 1533-position model. The record is from RNAcentral.
GACGUAGAGCGCGAGCGUUGUCCGGAUUUAUUGGGCGUAAAGAGCUCGUAGGCGGUUUGUCGCGUCGUCUGUGAAAACCCACGGCUCAACUGUGGGCUUGCAGUCGAUACGGGCAGGCUAGAGUUCGGUAGGGGAGACUGGAAUUCCUGGUGUAGCGGUGAAAUGCGCAGAUAUCAGGAGGAACACCGGUGGCGAAGGCAGGUUGUUGGGCCGAUACUGACGCUGAGAAGCGAAAGCAUGGGGAGCGAACAGG